Molecule: long non-coding RNA, 2058 nt
Organism: Triticum urartu
Lineage: Eukaryota; Viridiplantae; Streptophyta; Magnoliopsida; Poales; Poaceae
Source: RefSeq, a predicted model, not a curated record
CUCUCACCCGCACACCACUCGUCGUCCCCUCCUCUCCUCUCUCCCAGAUCCACACGCCGCCGCCAUCCUCUCCUGGAUCUGACGGCAGCCCUCACCCCCUCAGCCCCCAUGCACCCACGGAUGCCACCCCCAACCCUCUCCCUCCCUCUUUGAUCUCUAUCGGCCCUGCUCUCCACCGCCCGCCUCGGCCUCGUCGGAGAUAGAGGCGUCGCCGCCCAGCAACCACGGCUGGCUUGCUCGCCGGCGAGCACGACGCUCCAUCAAGCUGGCCGGACCAUGGCGCGCGCGUGGCCUGGCUAGAGUCUCCGGUCACUAGGACGGGACGACGCCAUCGGCUCCCUCGGCUCCGGCGACUGCGACCGCGACCGGCGACUGGCGGCGGGCGUCUCUCCCAGUUUCUGGGACGAGUGAGGAUCAUGGAGUGCUUUGGCUGUUCACAACUCGAGCGGACAUGGUACUGAUCAGGUGCCAUGGUGCCUGGUGCUUGCGUGGUGAGAAGCAACCUCUGGCUAAUCCUCAGUUGAAGGAGUUUAUUCUGUGCAGCCGGAGGCGUACGAGUUCAAGAUCGGCGACCAGUUUUUUCAUAGGCCUAGAGACCCACACCUGGACCAAGUUAUCGAGAUGCUACAGAAGCACAAGGAUAAGUCUCAAGAUGAAAUCUAGCUAGCUGGCUACAGUAUGCCUUAUGCUCUCGUUGAUUUAUUUCUUUUGCACUCUUUUGCAGUUCUAUAUGAUGAGUGAGCUGGUAGCAGCUAGCUAACUGCAUCUAGAUUGUAACCCCGUUAUGGGAUGUGUGGUUGCGCAUGCGUUCUGCAUUGUCAAAUGUGUUCUUUGUUGUCACACAUCGUGUGCGAUGUUGUUCAUAGUUUUUAUAUUUGUUGUCAUGCGAUGCGGUCACUGAAUUGCUCAAAUUUGCUGGCCAAGUACAAUGUAGUGCUGUUCUAUGCUAGGCUACCAGGCUAGGUAACUUCUGUAUCAAAAUCAUGGGUUCUAAUCUCUACUAUUAUCUGCCAUGGAUCAACAAUGAUGCGUCACAGGUAGUAGUAGUAGAGUCGGACUUGGUGUUGCAUUGCCUAGUGAUUAACUCCUCGAUCUGUUCCUCACAGCAUGGGGUCAGCACUUUACCUCAACUUGUCUGCAUUUUCUCUCACACACUAGACUUGCUCAUCCAUAACAUAAUGGCGGUGCGUGAGUGAGUCCUGUAGGUAUGUUUGUUUUUAGGCUGGUUGUAGAUGGAUUUGUAUGUUAUGGUAGUGUGCUUGCUCUCCCUGCUCUCCUUUCGCUUGGAGAAGAGAAGAGCAGAGCAGAGCAGGGUAAGUAAAACAAACAACACUUGUUUGCAGCUAAUGCGUACAAACACACUACCAGUUCUCUAAUUAGAACACCAGAGCUGUGCAACUCCCUACUAGUAGAUACCAACCACAUGUAUCUACGGAUUUACUACUAAAUCCAAUUACAGUACUACCAGAUGUUGUGUGAUUCCUUCCAUUCUAUGAUAGAUAAAGGAAAUACUUCAUCAGUAACGAGACAUGCUAACUUGGUGCUGAAAUUUAUGAGCAACUAAAUUGUGCAGAAUUAAGUUUCACAUUCAAAUCGAUGCUGUGGCUUUAUGUCAUGUGUGCACCAUGGACAGAAAUUUCAGAGCCAACUGAAAGAAAUUCUACUCUUUACAGCAGAACAGUAUACAUCAUUACUUUGUUGGUUGCCUGUUGUAACUGUGUGCAAAUUGCUUAUCAAUAUCUUAUCAAGCACUGCCUGACUGGCUCGCAUCGCUCUGCUGUCGUCGUUGUGCCGUCAAUGCUCUUUCCUCUCUCUGUCUACGACAGUUGGAUUCAUGAACCAAGCCAAGAACCUGAAUCUUUUGUUAGGCCGCUAGUAAACUAGGCUGUACUCUUUCCAAUUGCAAGUUGGAUAGAACCUGCAAUUAAGUGCAGACAUACAUGGAUUCUCGUUCAAUUCGUAUGUAUGUUUCUAUGUGCAUGCUUACGACUUUGACUUAGGAUAGGAUUAUCAUAGGAAUAGGAAUUUUGUAGGAAAUGUGAUGGCAUGUAUCUCAAA